CAAAGAAGGGGACACCCCCUGACCCCCCGCCCGGACCCCCCAAGUGACCUCGCUGUGGAUCCUCGGAGCCGUUGCCGCCUCCAGAAGCGAAAGGAAAAGCGCGGCCAGAACCGAAAGGAAAAGCGCCGCAACCGCCCCCAGUACGGCCGUGACCCCGAACUGGGCAGACUGGGGGGGCGGGGGACACCGAGGGGACACCGAGGGGACACAGAGCCGGGGGGGCAGCGGCUCCCGAAGCCCCCCCAGUGCUGUCCCCGCUGCUGUCCCGGGGUCACCUGGGCCGGGCGAAGGGAGGGAAACCCUGGGGGGACGCGGGAGGAGAGGGAGGGUCGUGCCAGGGACCGUGCCAGGGACCGUGCCAGGUGUCCUGCCAGGUGUCACAGGUGCCAGGUGUCACAGGUGCCAGGUGUCCUGACAGGUGUCCUGCCAGGUGUCACAGGUGCCAGGUGUCCUGCCAGGUGCCAGCCCAGGUGCCAGCCCAGGUGCUGUGACACUCGCCCGCCCCCAGGCCCCCCCCGCCAGUGGAGAGGGGAGGAGAACCCCGAGUGGACGUUGGGGUUGAGGCAGGAAGGGAUCAGGGACGGAACCCAAAUAAACGCCGGGGUAAUGACGGUCACUGUCACCGUCAUCGUCACCAUCGUCAUCGUCACCAUCGUUAUCAAUGUCAUCAUCGUCACCAUCGUCACCAUCGUUAUCAAUGUCAUCAUCGUCACCAUCGUCACCAUCGUCAUCAUCGUCACUGUCAUCAUCACCAUCGUCACCGCAAAUAAACAUCAAAGAUCAACCCCAAAACAGCCAAGAAGGGGCGGUCGGACCCCAAACUGCCACCCCUGGGUUCUCCAUCGCUCCGGCUGCUCCGUGUCCCAUCCCAGUGUCCAUCCCAAUGUCCCACCAUCCCAAUGUCCAUCCCUGUCCCAUCCCAAUGUCCAUCUGGGUCCCACCAUCCCAAUGUCCAUCCCAAUGUCCCACCAUCCCAAUGUCCAUCCGUGUCCCAUCCCAAUGUCCAUCCAUGUCCCACCAUCCCAAUGACCAUCCCUGUCCCAUCCCAAUGUCCCUCCCAAUGUCCCACCAUCCCAAUGUCCGUCCCGGUCCCAUCCCAAUGUCCCACCAUCCCAAUGUCCAUCCCAAUGUCCCACCAUCCCAAUGUCCACCCCAAU
Molecule: long non-coding RNA, 1157 nt
Filed under: Corvus moneduloides (New Caledonian crow)
Lineage: Eukaryota; Metazoa; Chordata; Aves; Passeriformes; Corvidae
Description: lncRNA (ENSCMUG00000020301.1)
Source: RNAcentral